This 429-nucleotide ribosomal RNA is filed under the name uncultured bacterium. RNAcentral's name for it is "bacterial SSU rRNA". It matches the Rfam family "Bacterial small subunit ribosomal RNA", at positions 355 to 776 of the family's 1533-position model. The record is from RNAcentral.
UUAGGAAUAUUGCGCAAUGGGCGAAAGCCUGACGCAGCGAUGCCGCGUGUGUGAAGAAGGCUCUAGGGUUGUAAAGCACUUUCAGUCGUGAAGAAAUUUAUUUCGUUAAUACCGAAAUGAUUUGACGUUAACGACAGAAGAAGUACCGGCUAACUCCGUGCCAGCAGCCGCGGUAAUACGGAGGGUACGAACGUUAAUCGGAAUUACUGGGCGUAAAGCGCGCGUAGGCGGUUUGUUAAGUGGGAUGUGAAAGCCCCGGGCUCAACCUGGGAACUGCAUUCCAAACUGGCAAACUAGAGUGUGGUAGAGGGAAGUAGAAUUUGAUGUGUAGCGGUGAAAUGCGUAGAUAUAUCAAGGAAUACCAAUGGCGAAGGCAGCUUCCUGGACUAACACUGACGCUGAGGUGCGAAAGCGUGGGGAGCAAACAGG